CGAAAUUUAAGAUGUCCAGAACACCAACCAACCCCGGAAGAAUGUUGUGGGGCUGUCAAAAAUAUCAAGUUGGUACUGAUUGUGGAUUCUUUAGAUGGACUGAUGAAAAUGAACAAUAUAAAGGUAGACAUCGAAGACAACGAAGACAACAAUGACUGAGAAGAUAUGGAAGGCACGAAAGACAUGAAAGAUCAAUCAUUAGUAUUGAUACCACUGUUAGCAC
RNAcentral lists this long non-coding RNA (223 nucleotides) under Capsicum annuum. RNAcentral's name for it is "long non-coding RNA (CANN_LNC007891)". Lineage: Eukaryota; Viridiplantae; Streptophyta; Magnoliopsida; Solanales; Solanaceae. The record is from RNAcentral.